AAUAAUUAUGAUAAAUUUGUCAUUUUGUGAUAAUGAUAAUUAAAAAGCAAAGUAUCUUGCAAUCCACCAGCCACAAAAUAAGAUCAAAACGACAAAUUUGCCGCGCUUGGCUCGCUGCAUUAGGUUCUAUAAAAUUCUCCAGUGGCAGCACCGAUCGCCUCACUAGGAGCAAAAAAACAACAAAAAUAAUGAAAUUUUUAAUGAGUUAUGAGAGAGAGAGCCAGAGCUUGCACUUAUUCACUACUUGGUCUUUGUCGCGCUGUGCCGAUAACUCGAAUAUUUUCGACGGAAAAGCUGGUCUCAAAAUGUAAAAGCAUCGGAUUUCGAGACGAUUUCAGCGGGAGGUUCUCAUCCCUCGGGUGUAACGGACGACAUCGGACACAACAACACGUCAUCCACGCGAGGCAGCAAGUGCGCUCUCGCCGGUCACCACAACAUCGCCCCGUUAGUAUUUCGGAACGAUUUCCCGAGGAAAAUAUCAAGAAUAACUUCCUGCUUAUCUACAAGCCGAUCGAUGAUUACUGACUUUUGGUUGCCCACAAAACCAUUGACAGAACACCGACACUGGUGUGCCGAAGAACUUCAUCACCCAGCAGGGCAAACAGUUGCAGAGGAAGGAGGCGAUCAGCAAGCUUAGAUAACCGCGCAGGCCAAAUCAGUACCGUUGGCGACGAGAGGGAAUUUAGUACAGGCGCAACGAACGCUUCUUGGACGUCCCUGAGCAUGUCAAUCGUCAAUCUGCUUUUAUGUCUCCGCAAGACCAAGUCUUGUCUGCCCACGUUGCGGAAAAAGUUGUCAUGCGAUCUGUCUGGCAUGCCCGAGUGCAAGUUCGGAAUCAACUCGACAAAAUUGUAAUGGAGGCUAAAGGCGAGGGAAGUGACAACCUGCAAGGAUUCGGCCAGGUCUGGAAAACUAGUGGUUGUGUUUGAUGACUGUCAGUUCCAUCAGUGCGUCAAAGUUUCCAAGUGUGAAACCGAGCACUCCAUCAACUUCAUUCCGCCUGAAGGUGAACUUGAGCUCAUGAGGUAAAUUUUCUUGUUUAGGAAGCGGAUCAUUAGAAGAUGUUAUGUAAUUCAGUGAAAAAAAAAAAUAGAUUAAAAUAUUAUUGUGUAUUUUUCAUAAAAAAAAAAAAA
This is a long non-coding RNA of Neocloeon triangulifer, 1133 nucleotides long. RefSeq lists it as uncharacterized. The record is from RefSeq and is a predicted model, not a curated record. The transcript is spliced from 3 exons. Lineage: Eukaryota; Metazoa; Arthropoda; Insecta; Ephemeroptera; Baetidae.